GGGACCCGCACAAGCGGUGGAUGAUGUGGUAUUAAUUCGAUGCAACGCGAAAAACCUUACCUACCCUUGACAUGUCCGGAAUCCCGAAGAGAUUUGGGAGUGCUCGCAAGAGAACCGGAACACAGGUGCUGCAUGGCUGUCGUCAGCUCGUGUCGUGAGAUGUUGGGUUAAGUCCCCGCAACGAGCGCAACCCUUGUCAUUAGUUGCUACAUUUGGUUGGGCACUCUAAUGAGACUGCCGGUGACAAGCCGGAGGAAGGUGGGGAUGACGUCAAGUCCUCAUGGCCCUUAUAGGUGGGGCUACACACGUCAUACAAUGGCUGGUACAAAGGGUUGCCAACCCGCGAGGGGGAGCUAAUCCCACAAAGCCAGUCGUAGUCCGGAUCGUAGUCUGCAACUCGACUACGUGAAGUCGGAAUCGCUAGUAAUCGUGGAUCAGAAUGUCACGGUGAAUACGUUCCCGGGUCUU
This 468-nucleotide ribosomal RNA is filed under the name uncultured Rhodoferax sp. Its description in RNAcentral is "bacterial SSU rRNA". It matches the Rfam family "Bacterial small subunit ribosomal RNA", at positions 916 to 1382 of the family's 1533-position model. Lineage: Bacteria; Pseudomonadati; Pseudomonadota; Betaproteobacteria; Burkholderiales; Comamonadaceae. The record is from RNAcentral.